UGCCAGCAGCCGCGGUAAUACGAAGGGUGCUAGCGUUGUUCGGAAUUACUGGGCGUAAAGAGCAUGCAGGCGGACGUGUAAGUCAGAUGUGAAAUCUCAGGGCUCAACCCCGAAACUGCGUCUGAAACUACAUGUCUAGAAUCUUGGAGAGGGAAGGGGAAUUUCUCAUGUAGGGGUAAAAUCCGUAGAGAUGAGAAGGAACACCAGAGGCGAAGGCGCCUUCCUGGACAAGUAUUGACGCUGAGGCGCGAAAGCGUGGGGAGCAAACAGGAUUAGAUA
This 279-nucleotide ribosomal RNA is filed under the name uncultured bacterium. Its description in RNAcentral is "partial 16S ribosomal RNA". It matches the Rfam family "Bacterial small subunit ribosomal RNA", at positions 506 to 784 of the family's 1533-position model. The record is from RNAcentral.